UCGAUCGCUAUUACGAUUCAUUUUCCGACCGAUCAAUAUAUCCAAUGGAUGUUUAAGUGCCACCCACAUUAGGGUUAUACUUUGUCGUUCGUCGUUAAAUCGAUGGAUGUUUAAGUAUCGCACUUUGUCGUUCGUUGUGAGAAUUUGAUCUCGUGAGUUAUCGUAAUUGUUGUAUUAAGUUACCUACCUAGUUCGUAUGCACUAGGUUAUAAGGCUAAAUCAAUAGGCUAAGCUCUACCUGUGUAAAUCUGCAAUAUAUCAAGGCUUAUCUGUAAGAUUAAACUUUGGCCGUAUGAAUCUGCAUGAUUAUAAUGUAAUUACAGUACAUUGGAAUAAGAAUUGGAUCCGGCACCGAAGGCAUCAAGAAGUGGCUUAUUUUAUUAAUUAAAUAUUACAGUACAUUGGAAUAAGAAUUGGAUCCGGCACCGAAGGCAUCAAGAAGUGGCUUAUUUU
RNAcentral lists this long non-coding RNA (453 nucleotides) under Helianthus annuus (common sunflower). RNAcentral describes it as "sRNA HanXRQr2_Chr11g0500861". Lineage: Eukaryota; Viridiplantae; Streptophyta; Magnoliopsida; Asterales; Asteraceae. The record is from RNAcentral.